GAGUUUGAUCCUGGCUCAGGACGAACGCUGGCGGCGUGCUUAACACAUGCAAGUCGAACGAUGAACCACUUCGGUGGGGAUUAGUGGCGAACGGGUGAGUAACACGUGGGCAAUCUGCCCUGCACUCUGGGACAAGCCCUGGAAACGGGGUCUAAUACCGGAUACUGACCAUCGCAGGCAUCUGUGAUGGUCGAAAGCUCCGGCGGUGCAGGAUGAGCCCGCGGCCUAUCAGCUUGUUGGUGAGGUAGUGGCUCACCAAGGCGACGACGGGUAGCCGGCCUGAGAGGGCGACCGGCCACACUGGGACUGAGACACGGCCCAGACUCCUACGGGAGGCAGCAGUAGGGAAUUUUGCGCAAUGGGCGAAAGCCUGACGCAGCAACGCCGCGUGCGGGAAGAAGGCCCUCGGGUUGUAAACCGCUUUCAGCAGGAGCGAAACUGACGGUACCUGCAGAAGAAGCCCCGGCCAACUACGUGCCAGCAGCCGCGGUGAUACGUAGGGGGCAAGCGUUGUCCGGAUUCAUUGGGCGUAAAGAGCUCGUAGGCGGUUCGGUAAGUCAGGUGUAAAAACUCCAGGCUCAACUUGGAGAGGCCACCUGAUACUGCCGUGACUAGAGUCCGGUAGAGGAGCAUGGAAUUCCUGGUGUAGCGGUGAAAUGCGCAGAUAUCAGGAGGAACACCAGCGGCGAAGGCGGUGCUCUGGGCCGGAACUGACGCUGAGGAGCGAAAGCGUGGGAGCGAACAGGAUUAGAUACCCUGGUAGUCCACGCCGUAAACGUUGGGCACUAGGUGUGGGACCUCGUCAACGGGUCCUGUGCCGUAGCUAACGCAUUAAGUGCCCGCCUGGGGAGUACGGCCGCAAGGCUAAAACUCAAAGGAAUUGACGGGGGCCCCACAAGCGGCGGAGCAUGUUGCUUAAUUCGAGGCAACGCGAAGAACCUUACCUGGGCUUGACAUGUGGGGAAAAGCCGUAGAGAUACGGUGUCCUUCGGGGCCCCAUGCAGGUGGUGCAUGGCUGUCGUCAGCUCGUGUCGUGAGAUGCUGGGUUAAGUACCGCAACGAGCGCAACCCUCGUCCUAUGUUGCCAGCGGGUAAUGCCGGGGACUCGUAGGAGACUGCCGGGGUCAACUCGGAGGAAGGUGGGGACGACGUCAAGUCAUCAUGCCCCUUACGUCCAGGGCUGCAAACAUGCUACAAUGGCCGGUACAAAGGGCUGCUAUACCGUGAGGUUGAGCGAAUCCCAAAAAGCCGGUAUCAGUUCGGAUCGGAGUGUGCAACUCGACUCCGUGAAGCCAGAGUCGCUAGUAAUCCCGGAUCAGCAACGCCGGGGUGAAUACGUUCCCGGGCCUUGUACACACCGCCCGUCACACCACGAAAGUCGGCAACACCCGAAGCCAGUGGCCCAACCCGCAAGGGAGGGAGCUGUCGAAGGUGGGGUCAGCGAUUGGGGUGAAGUCGUAACAAGGUAGCCGUACCGGAAGGUGCGGCUGGAUCACCUCCUUUCU
RNAcentral lists this ribosomal RNA (1505 nucleotides) under uncultured bacterium. Its description in RNAcentral is "bacterial SSU rRNA". It matches the Rfam family "Bacterial small subunit ribosomal RNA". The record is from RNAcentral.